Sceloporus undulatus (fence lizard) is the source of this 3940-nucleotide long non-coding RNA. RefSeq lists it as uncharacterized. The record is from RefSeq and is a predicted model, not a curated record. The transcript has 3 exons. NCBI's taxonomy places the organism in Eukaryota, Metazoa, Chordata, Lepidosauria, Squamata, Phrynosomatidae.
GAACCCAUUUGCUUGUCUUCUUGGCCACCCACAGUACCCUCAGCACUCUUCUCCAGCACCACAUCUCCAAUAAGUUUAUUGUCUUUCUCUCAGCUUUCUUCACUGACAUCCAUACAUAGCGAUGGGGAGUACAGUAGCUUGGAUGAUCUUCCCUUUAGUGUAGCUUACAAAGUUUAAAAUAAAUACAGAUAAAUGCACACACAAAAACAUAACUAAAAACAUACAACGGUGUUAUUGUUAAAAUGUAGUCAAGCUACGGAUAGAAUUUAAAACAACUCCAUUUAAAAGACAACAGAUAAAACACCUUGAAAGGAAAAGAUAAAAUGCUGUGAAACGUCCUAGCAGCCAAUUUUUAAACGUCUGCUGCAACUGAAAAGUUUUCACUUGAUGAAGAAAGAGCAACUGGGAGGGAGCUAGUUUAGCCUCCUCUGAGAGGGACCUCUAGAGCCUAGGGGCAGCCACCAGAAAGGCUGUUCUCCAUGUGCCUAAUAGAUGUAUCUGUGAAGGUGAUAUGACCAAGCGAAGGGCCUCCCCCAAAGAUCUCAGAGGUAAGCUCAUACAGGAAGAUAUUUUCUUUCAAAUCACUUGGACCUAAGCCAUGCAGGCAUUCUGAAAAAGUGAUGAAUAGCUAGUUUGUUUUAUUAAUUUUUUUAUAAAAUAAAAACAACAAAUAAACACAUAAUUUUACUUAUCAGAGGGUUUCAUUCCACAUAAUUGGAGCAAAAUCCUCCAUUUUAAUUAUAGUAAUGUAACAUCCUCCUCCCCUCAAGUAACGCACACAUUACAUCAGAAUUUCAACAUUGAUUAUCCAUUUGUAGUGGUAACAUUUCCUAGGAUCAAUCAUCAGUAAGCUUUUGUUAACAGUCAGUUUACACAUAAAUAUUUUAUCACAAUAUGGAUUCCUGCUCUUAUUUCCAUCUUUCUUUACAAAAUUCAACUAUUCCCGACCAUUCAUUUCUCACCUUGUGUUUUAAACAUGCCGUCAAUUUGUCCAUUUCUAUCAUAUCUGUUAAUUUAAGUAACCAUUCAUUUAUUUUUGGUGUUUCUAAGCUUUUCCAAUACUGGGCUAUUGUCAAUUUUGCAGCAGUUAUUAAAUACAAAAGAACUCUCCAAUGCCUUCUUUCUAUAUUUGGGAAUAUCUUAUUUAACAUAUUCAACAGGUAUAUUUCUGGGUGCAUUUCAUAUUUAAUCUGUAGCAUCUUUUCUAUUAAAAAUGAACUUGGAUGAACAGUUGGUUUUGUUUGUUUCAGAGCUUGCCCCAAGAGCUGGAGUAGUUUUUAACUGAAUGCUUUCAAACCACCUUAAUGCUGUACAGUACAUAAACUUCAGUAUUCCACCUUAGUUCUGUUAACAUGUAAUCUUUUUCACAGGAAGCAAUAAGUUUUUGUAAUAGAAAAAUCCUACCUUGUCGAUUUCCUACCCAUCUUCCUAAUCUUUUCUGGCUCUGUCAGGGCUCCUCACCAGGUUGUCACCCCGUGACAUUUUAAUGUUUUAUAAACAGCAGUGUACAAAACUCCCUGGAGAAAUGUUGCUAAUCUUAUCAAAAUGGUUGUCUAGAAAUGCCUCCAAAUAUUUGCCUGAGCAGGGCCCUCUCUUUCAACUGACAAAUUAUUUGAGAAAACUUUGAGGAAGAACCAAACAUCAAGAGUGCCUGGGAUAUGCUACAGAAAUUUACUCUGUUGUGACAUGCAACUUCAGUGCUUGUCGUCUGGGUUGCAUGCUCACCACAUUCUCAUCUAGCUGACUUUGCAGAUCUGCUGUCCUGGAAGAAACUCUUCCCACAUUCAAAGGACCACAUAUUUAGAGAAUCUAAUACUGUCUUCAGCAGCACUCUUUGCAUCUUGCAGAAAAUGUCAGGCCUAGUGCCUUACUGACAUAUCAGAACAUAGCACCACUUUUGGUUUGAAUUUUUCUGCAAGUCAUCAGAAUUGUUUUGGUUUUAGAAAGUUGAUUAAAUCAUCACCACACUACUACUACCGCCAUCAUAAUUAUCUCCAGCUAUGUGAAAAAGCCAUACGGUAGCAUCUUUAAUGUAUCAGUUAGUGUCUAAUGUGCUACUUUAUGCCUUUUUAUGCUGAAACAGACUGAUAUGACUAUCUCUUUGAAUACUACUUAGAUAAGAAUUAAAUCCAUCUGAUUACUCUACAGUAUUGACUUCCUAGCUUUCUUUCAGUUUGUCAAUUUGUCUCAAUUUCUAAGGUCUCCCAAUAAUGUCAAAAAGGACUGGCACUUUUUUUAGAGCAGUUAAUCCGUGUUAUCAGCUAGGAGAAAGUUAUAAGCUUCUGGUUUACUUGUUUGUCAUCCUAAGAUUUUUUUUGCCAUUUCUUCUUUGUCAUCAUAUAACAAGACUCUUAAACAGCUGGGAGUGUAUCAAUGAGGUAUUGAAAGUAAUGCCUCCCAACAAGUCAGAAAGUAAGGAGAAAUGCCACAGUUAGAGGCUCACCGGUCAAACAUCCUGUCCAUCUUCCUCUUUUAGGAAAGCAGCAGAAAAAAACAGAAUCAAAGGCACCACUUUUAGCCUGAAAAAUAUGGUCCUUCCUUGAAGCAGGAGGGAUGAUGGAUUGCAUGUCAGUUAUUGGGCCACUGUGGGAGUUGGUGGUGUGGUCAGAGGGUUCUCUCCACGAACUGGGAAAACCUGGAGGACCAGAACAUUCUGAGACUAUCUUGAGGCUCCAAGUAAAAGAGACUGUUAUCUGAUCUGCAAAAGAAGUAUCCUGUUAUCAUGAGAUUUUUCAGCAGACAUUAGAAAACGUUUGACACACUAUGAUAGUGGAUAGUCAGCUCAAACAUUAAAUCCAUUUUAAAUAAUUUUAGCUGUUUGUUUUAAUAUGAAUGAAUGAAUGAAUCUUUAUUUAUUAGAAUAUUAGAAACUAUACGUUUCAGACAGAGACUGACAUAUAAUAGUUGAUAGCAUUGAUCACCAGUGCCCCAUUUUGUUUGUGUUCCUCCAAAGCACAUUAAGGAUUUUAAGUUUCCCUCCCUAACCUGGCACUUACCAGAUGUGUACAAAUUUCACAAUCUGAUUGAUGAUUGGGUGUGGUGGGAAAACACAUCUGGAAGGUGCCAGUUUGGAAGAAGGCUGUUAAAAACCAGUACAGUUAUGCUUUCGCCACUGAUAUGCUUCAUCUCUUCACAUUUUUGCAUCCCCACCCAGCCCCAAUAACACCUUUCAGAUACAAUGGCACCCUUCUGUGCCAUUUUAUGCGUAAAAGGGAAUGGCACAAACUUGCCUGUCAAAAUGUUUCUAAAAAUGCUCUUCUAAAAGUCACACAAAUACAUUGCUCAUUACCAGUGAACGUAAGGCACAUCAUAGUACUUCAGAAAUAGAACUCCAUCGUUUCCUUGUUACUGAAAAGACAACUCAUUACAGGUUACUGUGUUACUUCAACUUGUUGCUUCUGAUAUCUGGUUUUCAGUAAACUUGCCUAACAAUGCUUCAAAUACAGAUAGCAUGCCGAUACAGGAAAAGGAUGAAAUUGCAAGUCAUGUGUUUUGAAAUCUUAUCUAAGAAGUUCUGACAGAGUAAGCCCCAAAGAUCUAUAUUUAUCUCCAGGGGAAUAAAUGAUGAGACCUGACAUAAGUCAUAUACCGGACAUGUACUUUAACUCUGGAAGUGGUUUCUGAGGAGGAGAGUUAAGUAGGUUAACUACACCGGGAGAUGAUCAGUAACUGUUCCCCUGCUGGAUACUCCUUCUCACCCAAGCUGCUCCACCCUCCACAGAGUUUCAGAUAUCUGUUUAUUGUCACAAAUUUUCAUGUAUCUGGCCAUAAAGUUGCCACAUUUCUCAGAAUUCAGGUGUGCCACCUCAUACUCAUUUGUAUGAUUAGCUGUCAUGGAUUCAAUUCCUUCCUGAGUUUUUUUUUAAAAGCAAAUUUCUAAUUUUUGUCAGAGCUCAAGACAUGAAACAAAAUGUGCUGUGACUAUUUUGUUCAGUUGUUU